GAUGAACGCUGGCGGCGUGCCUAAUACAUGCAAGUCGAGCGAACAGACGAGGAGCUUGCUCCUCUGACGUUAGCGGCGGACGGGUGAGUAACACGUGGAUAACCUACCUAUAAGACUGGGAUAACUUCGGGAAACCGGAGCUAAUACCGGAUAAUAUAUUGAACCGCAUGGUUCAAUAGUGAAAGACGGUUGUGCUGGCACUUAUAGAUGGAUCCGCGCCGCAUUAGCUGGUUGGUAAGGUAACGGCUUACCAAGGCAACGAUGCGUAGCCGACCUGUGAGGGUGGUCGGCCACACUGGAACUGAGACACGGUCCAGACUCCUACGGGAGGCAGCAGUAGGGAAUCUUCCGCAAUGGGCGAAAGCUUGGCGGAGCAACGCCGAGUGAGUGAUGAAGGUCUUCGGAUCGUAAAACUCUGUUAUUAGGGAAGAACAAAUGUGUAAGUAACUAUGCACGUCGUGACGGUACCUAAUCAGAAAGCCACGGCUAACUACGUG
This 497-nucleotide ribosomal RNA is filed under the name uncultured bacterium. Its description in RNAcentral is "partial 16S ribosomal RNA". It matches the Rfam family "Bacterial small subunit ribosomal RNA", at positions 28 to 507 of the family's 1533-position model. The record is from RNAcentral.